RNAcentral lists this ribosomal RNA (1363 nucleotides) under uncultured bacterium. Its description in RNAcentral is "bacterial SSU rRNA". It matches the Rfam family "Bacterial small subunit ribosomal RNA". The record is from RNAcentral.
GAGUUUGAUCCUGGCUCAGGACGAACGCUGGCGGCGCGCCUAACACAUACAAGUCGAACGAGCGAGAGAGAGCUUGCUUUCUCAAGUGGCGAACGGGUGAGUAACGCGUGAGGAACCUGCCUCAAAGAGGGGGACAACAGUUGGAAACGACUGCUAAUACCGCAUAAGCCCACGGUGCCGCAUGGCACAGAGGGAAAAGGAGCAAUCCGCUUUGAGAUGGCCUCGCGUCCGAUUAGCUAGUUGGUGAGGUAAUGGCCCACCAAGGCGACGAUCGGUAGCCGGACUGAGAGGUUGAACGGCCACAUUGGGACUGAGACACGGCCCAGACUCCUACGGGAGGCAGCAGUGGGGAAUAUUGCACAAUGGGGGAAACCCUGAUGCAGCGACGCCGCGUGGAGGAAGAAGGUCUUCGGAUUGUAAACUCCUGUUGUUGAGGAAGAUAAUGACGGUACUCAACAAGGAAGUGACGGCUAACUACGUGCCAGCAGCCGCGGUAAAACGUAGGUCACAAGCGUUGUCCGGAAUUACUGGGUGUAAAGGGAGCGCAGGCGGGAAGACAAGUUGGAAGUGAAAUCUAUGGGCUCAACCCAUAAACUGCUUUCAAAACUGUUUUUCUUGAGUAGUGCAGAGGUAGGCGGAAUUCCCGGUGUAGCGGUGGAAUGCGUAGAUAUCGGGAGGAACACCAGUGGCGAAGGCGGCCUACUGGGCACCAACUGACGCUGAGGCUCGAAAGUGUGGGUAGCAACAGGAUUAGAUACCCUGGUAGUCCACACCGUAAACGAUGAUUACUAGGUGUUGGAGGAUUGACCCCUUCAGUGCCGCAGUUAACACAAUAAGUAAUCCACCUGGGGAGUACGACCGCAAGGUUGAAACUCAAAGGAAUUGACGGGGGCCCGCACAAGCAGUGGAGUAUGUGGUUUAAUUCGACGCAACGCGAAGAACCUUACCAAGUCUUGACAUCCCUUGACGAUGCUGGAAACAGUAUUUCUCUUCGGAGCAAGGAGACAGGUGGUGCAUGGUUGUCGUCAGCUCGUGUCGUGAGAUGUUGGGUUAAGUCCCGCAACGAGCGCAACCCUUAUGGUCAGUUACUACGCAAGAGGACUCUGGCCAGACUGCCGUUGACAAAACGGAGGAAGGUGGGGAUGACGUCAAAUCAUCAUGCCCUUUAUGGCUUGGGCUACACACGUACUACAAUGGCGUUAAACAAAGAGAAGCAAGACCGCGAGGUGGAGCAAAACUCAGAAACAACGUCCCAGUUCGGACUGCAGGCUGCAACUCGCCUGCACGAAGUCGGAAUUGCUAGUAAUCGCAGAUCAGCAUGCUGCGGUGAAUACGUUCCCGGGCCUUGUACACACCGCCCGUC